UCUGGUCAUUUAGAGGAAGUAAAAGUCGUAACAAGGUUUCCGUAGGUGAACCUGCGGAAGGAUCAUUAGAGACCUGGGCUGCGCUUCUAGCGCGGCUCCAAACCAAUACACAGUGUGUUAUACUUCUCUUGCUUUGGCUCUGCCAAAGGUUUUUAAACACAGAAAUUUAUUUUCUCUAGAAACUAGUCAAUUUGAAUUUUAAUCUUCAAAACUUUCAACAACGGAUCUCUUGGUUCUCGCAACGAUGAAGAACGCAGCGAAAUGCGAUACGUAAUGUGAAUUGCAGGUUUUCGUGAAUCAUCGAAUCUUUGAACGCAUAUUGCGCUCUCUGGCAUUCCAGAGAGCAUGCCUGUUUGAGCGUCAUUUCUCUCUCAAGAUCCUCUAGGGGACUUGGUAUUGAGUGAUACUCUGUGUUAACUUGAAAUACUCUAGGCAGAGCUCCCCCUAGAAACCCUCUGGGCCGAAAUAAUGUAUUAGGUUCUACCAACUCGUUAUUUUCCAGACAGACUUCCAGGCAGAGCUCGGCUGAACAACCUUUCUAAGCUUGACCUCAAAUCAGGUAGGACUACCCGCUGAACUUAAGCAUAUCAAUAAGCGGAGGAA
RNAcentral lists this ribosomal RNA (603 nucleotides) under uncultured fungus. RNAcentral's name for it is "eukaryotic LSU rRNA". The stretch from base 210 to 363 matches the Rfam family "5.8S ribosomal RNA". The record is from RNAcentral. Lineage: Eukaryota; Fungi.